UACAGAGGGUGCGAGCGUUAAUCGGAAUCACUGGGCUUAAAGCGUUCGUAGGCGGACUUGCAGGCGCGUUGUGAAAGCCCCCGGCUCAACCGGGGAACUGCUUCGCGAACCGCAAGUCUUGAGUCAAGUAGGGGCGGUCGGAACGAUAGGUGGAGCGGUGAAAUGCGUAGAUAUCUAUCGGAACGCCAAAGGUGAAGACAGGCCGCUGGGCUUGUACUGACGCUGAGGAACGAAAGCGUGGGGAGCAAACGGG
RNAcentral lists this ribosomal RNA (253 nucleotides) under uncultured bacterium. RNAcentral describes it as "partial 16S ribosomal RNA". It matches the Rfam family "Bacterial small subunit ribosomal RNA", at positions 524 to 776 of the family's 1533-position model. The record is from RNAcentral.